Molecule: long non-coding RNA, 772 nt
Filed under: Rattus norvegicus (Norway rat)
Lineage: Eukaryota; Metazoa; Chordata; Mammalia; Rodentia; Muridae
Description: long non-coding RNA NONRATT014514
Source: RNAcentral
ACCUCUACACCUAAGGAUGCACCUGCAGUCACCUCUACACCUAAGGACGCACCCAUGGUCACCUCUACACCUAAGGAUGCAUCCACAGUCACCUCUACACCCAAGGAUGCAUCUGCAGUCACCUCUACACCUAAGGAUGCAUCCGCAGUCACCUCUACACCUAAGGAUGCACCCACCGUCACCUCUACACCUAAGGAUGCAUCCACUGCACCUCUACACCUAAGGAUGCAUCCACAGUCACCUCUACACCUAAGGAUGCAUCCGCAGUCACCUCUACACCUAAGGAUGCACCCACAGUCACCUCUACACCUAAGGACGCACCCAUGGUCACCUCUACACCUAAGGACGCACCCAUGGUCACCUCUACACCUAAGGAUGCAUCCACUGCACCACUACACCUAAGGAUGCAUCCACAGUCACCUCUACACCUAAGGAUGCAUCCGCAGUCACCUCUACACCUAAGGAUGCAUCCGCGGUCACCUCUACACCUAAGGAUGCAUCCGCGGUCACCUCUACACCUAAGGAUGCAUCCGCGGUCACCUCUACACCUAAGGAUGCAUCCACGGUCACCUCUACACCUAAGGAUGCAUCCGCAGUCACCUCUACACCCAAGGAUGCAUCCGCAGUCACCUCUACACCUAAGGAUGCAUCCACAGUCACCUCUACACCCAAGGAUGCAUCCACAGUCACCUCUACACCUAAGGAUGCAUCCACUGCACCUCUACACCUAAGGAUGCAUCCACAGUCACCUCUACACCUAAGGCUCAGAAAA